GACGAACGCUGGCGGCGUGCUUAACACAUGCAAGUCGAACGAUGAAGCUGGAGCUUGCUCCGGUGGAUUAGUGGCGAACGGGUGAGUAACACGUGAGCAAUCUGCCCUUGACUCUGGGAUAACUGCGGGAAACUGUAGCUAAUACCGGAUACGAGACCUGAAGGCAUCUUCGGGUCUGGAAAGAAUUUCGGUCAAGGAUGAGCUCGCGGCCUAUCAGCUUGUUGGUGAGGUAAUGGCUCACCAAGGCGACGACGGGUAGCCGGCCUGAGAGGGUGACCGGCCAGACUGGGACUGAGACACGGCCCAGGCUCCUACGGGAGGCAGCAGUGGGGAAUAUUGCACAAUGGGCGAAAGCCUGAUGCAGCAACGCCGCGUGAGGGAUGAAGGCCUUCGGGUUGUAAACCUCUUUUAGCAGGGAAGAAGCGAAAGUGACGGUACCUGCAGAAAAAGCACCGGCUAACUACGUGCCAGCAGCCGCGGUAA
This 483-nucleotide ribosomal RNA is filed under the name uncultured bacterium. Its description in RNAcentral is "partial 16S ribosomal RNA". It matches the Rfam family "Bacterial small subunit ribosomal RNA", at positions 28 to 523 of the family's 1533-position model. The record is from RNAcentral.